GGAGAGGUGGCUGAGUGGUUGAAAGCGGCUUCCUGCUAAGAAGUUAUAGGCUAACGCCUAUCGAGGGUUCGAAUCCCUCCCUCUCCG
This 87-nucleotide transfer RNA is filed under the name Candidatus Atelocyanobacterium thalassa isolate ALOHA. RNAcentral describes it as "tRNA-Ser (GCT) (tRNA-Ser-GCT-1-1)". It matches the Rfam family "tRNA". Rfam says of the family: Transfer RNA (tRNA) molecules are approximately 80 nucleotides in length. RNAcentral also lists the same sequence under 1 other name. The record is from Rfam by way of RNAcentral. Lineage: Bacteria; Bacillati; Cyanobacteriota; Cyanophyceae; Chroococcales; Aphanothecaceae.